RNAcentral lists this ribosomal RNA (375 nucleotides) under uncultured bacterium. RNAcentral describes it as "bacterial SSU rRNA". It matches the Rfam family "Bacterial small subunit ribosomal RNA", at positions 30 to 403 of the family's 1533-position model. The record is from RNAcentral.
AUUGAACGCUGGCGGCAGGCCUAACACAUGCAAGUCGAGCGGUAGAGAGGUGCUUGCAUCUCUUGAGAGCGGCGGACGGGUGAGUAAUGCCUAGGAAUCUGCCUAGUGGUGGGGGGAUAAACGUUCGGAAACGGACGCUAAUACCGCAUACGUCCUACGGGAGAAAGCGGGGGAUCUUCGGACCUCGCGCCAUUAGAUGAGCCUAGGUCGGAUUAGCUAGUUGGUGAGGUAAUGGCUCACCAAGGCGACGAUCCGUAACUGGUCUGAGAGGAUGAUCAGUCACACUGGAACUGAGACACGGUCCAGACUCCUACGGGAGGCAGCAGUGGGGAAUAUUGGACAAUGGGCGAAAGCCUGAUCCAGCCAUGCCGCGUG